This 253-nucleotide ribosomal RNA is filed under the name uncultured bacterium. Its description in RNAcentral is "partial 16S ribosomal RNA". It matches the Rfam family "Bacterial small subunit ribosomal RNA", at positions 524 to 776 of the family's 1533-position model. The record is from RNAcentral.
UACGUAGGGGGCUAGCGUUGUCCGGAAUCAUUGGGCGUAAAGCGCGCGUAGGCGGCCCGGUAAGUCCGCUGUAAAAGUCCAGGGCUCAACCCUGGAACGCCGGUGGAUACUGGCAGGCUGGAGUAUGGUAGAGGAAGGUGGAAUUCCCGGUGUAGCAGUGAAAUGCGUAGAGAUCGGGAGGAACACCAGUGGCGAAGGCGGCCUUCUGGACCAAUACUGACGCUCAUGCACGAAAGCGUGGGGAGCAAACAGG